UUGUAAACAUCAGUAAAAUGUUCUGUUUAUUCAUUUAUGUUCUUAUUUUUCAUAAUGUGCUAUUGAAAACAGAUGCAUUCGGUACAGCAGGUUAGUAGGACAUUUCAUAUGUUGACUUUUCUGAACAUUGUUGUUAUUACACCAGACAUCAUAUUCAGUAUUGGAGGUGGUGGUGGGUACAGCAGAGUUACAUUUAGUGCAUGUAUUGCAGUAUAAAUAUAAAUCAGACAUAAAAAUAAAAAUAGUGCAGUGUUUACCCCAUCUUAAACAGAAGAGGAGUCUUGAUAAGUUCAGCAACUGUUUUGUCGAAGCUAGAAGACUUUGUAUUGCAUACAGAAUUUAGGUAUGUCGGGGGGGAAAACUAUUGAAAAUUAUAAUAGUAAAAAAUUGUGCUUCGGAUAUCCAAAGAUUUUACUUGUUUAAAAAAUAUAUAUAAAUGACCUGCAAUAAAAAUGGAAUGCAAGUGAGAUUGAUUCAGAUUGCUGUGUUUCAGCAGUGAAACUGUGCUUGGUUGGUGUAUGUGUGUGUGUGUGUGUUGUGUAGUUCUCAAGCCUUAUAAUGUCUCUCAAAACUGCAAAAAUGUUAGGUUAGAGGUCAGUCAAUGGAAAUAAUUACAGUGGUUGCAUCUGAAUGGCCUCCUGUCCCCUGUAGUGCACAUCGUUUGACCAGGGCACAUGGCUCUGCUCAAAAGUAGUGGACACGUUCAGUGUUUCAUACUAAAAAGAAAGAAAACACACUAUUUAUAUAUAAAUACAUGCUUAUGAGGCUUUGAAGACAUGAGCAUAUAAGUAGGUCUACAGUACAUUUCCUAGAUGUUGUCUGUCAACAUUUGUAGAUUUUGUGCACCUUAAUAUUACUGAGGAAGAACUGAGAAUUAAUUAUAAACUGGGUGGUUCGAGCCCUGAAUGCUGAUUGGCUGACAGCCGUGGUAUAUCAGACCAUAUACCACAUGUAUGACAAAACAUAUAUAUUUUUAAAGUUGGUAACCAGUUUAUAAUAGCAUUAAGGUACCUCGGGGGUUUGUGGUACAUGGUACAAUAUACCACAGCUAAGGGCUGUAUCCAGGCACUCCAUGUUGCGUUGUGUCUAAGAACAGCCCUUAGCCGUGGUAUAUUGGCCAUAUAGCAUACCCCCUCAGGCCUUAUUGCUUAAAUAUACAAUAUAUACAAAUAUGUAAUAAUACAUAAAUACUGAAUACAUAAUGUGAUUGUCAUCCAUUCAUUUUCUCUUCAGAAUGACAAGUGAAAAGCUAUAGUGACUUAUUAUGGUCCUGGAAAGCCCUUCUACUUAGAAAGAAAUAUAUGUUCUUGUAAAAUAAAUAUGACGUUCCUUUUACUUGUAAAAUAAAUAUGAGAUGUCCUUCUACUUGUAAAAUAAAUAUGAGAUGUCCUUCUACUUGUAAAAUAAAUAUGAGAUGUCCUUCUACUUGUAAAAUAAAUAUGAGAUGUCCUUCUACUUGUAAAAUAAAUAUGAGAUGUCCUUCUACUUGUAAAAAAUAAAUAUGUUGUCAUGCACAUACAUUUAAUUAACUGUGGUAGUAAUUCAUUUCAUUAAUGUAUAGUUUUAUGUAAUGACAAAGCAAUACUUAUGUGAGUGUUUUUCUGUACUGAGAUGCGUGCUGCUCUGUGCUUAAAGCUUGUGUUUUCUUGGGAAAGCUUCAGGUCUGUACUACUAUGCAAAAAAACAUACAUGUAGCUCCUUUAAAGAAACCUUAUAAAGGUGUUUUAUAAUUUAACCAGUAGUCUUGAAAGUAGCGCUCAUGAGUCAAAACGGGUUGGUGAAAAUGGUGCAAAACGUCAUCCCUUUCGUAUGAUGCUGUGCACAACGUCAUCCCUUUCGUAUGAUGCUGUGCACAACGUCGUCCCUUUCGUAUGAUGCUGUGCACAACGUCAUCCCUUUCGUAUGAUGCUGUGCACAACGUCAUCCCUUUCGUAUGAUGCUGUGCACAACGUCAUCCCUUUCGUAUGAUGCUGUGCACAACGUCAUCCCUUUCGUAUGAUGCUGUGCACAACGUCAUCCCUUUCGUAUGAUGCUGUGCACAACGUCGUCCCUUUCGUAUGAUGCUGUGCACAACGUCGUCCCUUUCGUAUGAUGCUGUGCACAACGUCGUCCCUUUCGUAUGAUGCUGUGCACAACGUCAUCCCUUUCGUAUGAUGCUGUGCACAACGUCAUCCCUUUCGUAUGAUGCUGUGCACAACGUCAUCCCUUUCGUAUGAUGCUGUGCACAACGUCAUCCCUUUCGUAUGAUGCUGUGCACAAUACGCAAUACUAAGCCUUGUCUCAAGAUAGUAGGUUGGUGGUUGAAGAUUUCCCUCUAGUGGUUUGGGGGCUGUGCUUUGGAAAAGUGGAUGGGGUGAUAUCCUGCCUGUUUGGCCCUGUCCGGGGGCAUCGUCGAACAGGGCCGCAGUGUCUCCUGACCCCUCCUGUCUCAGCCUCCAGUAUUGAUGCUGCAGUGGAUUAUAUGUCGGGGGGCUAGGGUCAGUCUGUUAUAUCUGGAGUAUUUCUCCUGUUAUUAUCCGGUUUCCUGUGUGAAUUUAAGUAUGCUCUCUCUAAUUUUCUCUCUCUCUUUUACUAUCCCUUUCUCUUUCUUUCUCUCGGAGGACCUGAGCCGUAGGACCAUGCCUCAGGACUACCUGGCCUGAUGACUCCUUGCUGUCCCCAGUCCACCUGGCUGUGCUGCUGAUUCAGUUUAAACUGUUCUGCCUGCGGCUAUGGAACCCUGACCUGUUCACCAGACGUGCUACCUUGUCCCAGACCUGCUGUUUUCAACUCUCUAGAGACAGCAGGUGCGGUAGAGAUCCACUGAAUGAUCGGCUAUGAAAAGCCAACUGACAUUUACUCCUGAGGUGCUGACCUGUUGCACCCUCUACAACCACUGUGAUUAUUAUUAUUUGACCCUGCUGGUCAUCUAUGAACAUUUGAACAUCUUGGCCAAGUUCUGUUAUAAUCUCCACCCGGCACAGCCAGAAGAGGACAGGCCACCCCACAUAGCCUGGUUCCUCUCUAGGUUUCUUCAUAGGUUUUGGCCUUUCUAUGUUUUUUUUCUUAGCAACCGUGCUUCUACACCUGCAUUUCUUGCUGUUUAGGGUUUUAGACUGGGUUUCUGUACAGCACUUUGUGACAUCAGCUGAUUUAAGAAGGGCUUUAUAAAUACAUUUGCUUGAUUAAUUGAAAUUAUAAUCCUGAAAUUUGUAUGAUAUGUUGCUAAUUCCAAUUCGUAACAAUAUGUUACGAAUAUGUUACAAUAUGUUACGAAUUGGUAAAGGUUGGAAGCUCAUACAAAUGGUGUUUGAUCUACAUAUGGUCAACACAUCAUCAUUCUCCUUUUUCCUCAAGCAGAGAGCUAUCCAUAGUGAAUAGAUGACCUAUUAUAUUCAGAUUCAUUAUGAGUUGACAUUCUAUUAUGGUAUUACAAUUGGGUAACAUUGAAUACUAUGUCACUUCAGGUGUCGUGACACAAGCCCACCACUAGAGGUCCCUCGCUCCACACACAUGAAUGACAGGAAGUGCUAUGGACACCCUUUGGCAAAGGAUUAUGGAUAUACUGACAAGAUCUACGUCUCUCCUCCCUAACAAUGGGAGUCGUUGUCCACAAAGCGGCACAGCGGGCUGUCUAGCUCCCGCCUAUCCUUUCUUUGGAUUGGUUGAUACAUCUCAUUAUUUUAAUCAUUUUUUGAAUAUUCAAUGAGGGUUGUUGACAUCAACCUCCUGUAUUCAAUGGAGAGAGACGCUAUGCUACUAGCCUCAUGCCAUGAAUAUGCAUAGCCAUUUCGAGACAACUCCGAUAUAAAGUGUUUUUUCCAACUUAUAUCAGUACACUAGUAACAAUUUAAGCAUUACAAAACUUCUAUUUGAUCAAAUAAACCUCACGUAGCAAAUAACCCAUAAAUGAUUUUGUUGACCAAAUUCAACCCUCUCAUUGACAACCAUCCAAAAACGCAUUGCUUGAUGGGUGAAACAACAUAAAAGCGCCACCUGCUGGAGGGAGACCGAUUUGCUGCCGAGUUGGGCCUCUCUCUUCCUCUUCCUCUCUGCUUUGUCACAGUCCUUGUGAUUACAGUGGAAUGGCUAGAUUUACAUCAUAAUUCGUAAGAACUGAAAUAUAGUGGAAGCAUCAUUUAUAGGCUACUCACCACUGGAGUACUGGGACUUUAACUGAAUUAAUUAUCAGAACUUUAACUGAACUAAUUAUCAGAACUUUAACUGAUCUUGUUAUAAGAAGUGCUAAUCAACUGCUCAAAUAGCCUACAUUAAGUGUGAUGUAGUGUCUGAGGAAACAGAUCAGACGGGAUCCUGCCAGUAGGAGGAGAGCUACAGUAAAGUCCUGUACUGUAGGCUGCACAGUGUUACAUUCUGGACAGUCUGGAAUUGGUUUUAGUGUUUGUGUGUUGCCUAAAAGUUUAAAACUUCCCUACAAAUGGUUAACGUAUCUCCUCAAGUACUGAUGAUCUUUUUGGUCAUUAAAAAAUGUAUAUAUACAUUUCAGGCAGACAAGCAAAAGUGCCUGGUCUGACUCCUCCUAUCUCGGUCCCUGUCUGCGAUCUGAUUGGUGGAUUCAAUGGCAAAACUACUCUGAUCUUCUGUAGAUCCAUAAUGUUGAUACAUGAUAAAUAUACAUUAGAGUUGUAGAUGACAGUGUGCAAGUUUGUGCUUUGAUAAUGUGCUUUGAUGUGCUCUGAUUCAUAUAUGUUUGAUUCCUCUGUGUCACUAUAUAACACCUACAAAAAACAGUUAGCUACGGAAACACAAUAGAAAACAGACCAGGGAAAAAAACAAGUUAUCAAGCAAGCGAAAGCGAGCAAUAUAUGCCGUUAAGAGAUCAAUGGAACGCAGACCGCGGGGAAACAGCAAGGAUACCAUCUAAAAAUCAGAUUAUACAAAGUGGAUAUUCUUCAAAUCUGUCAAGAUCUUUGUGUUCUAACAGGCCCACAAUGUGGUUGCUACUGUUUUCGCUGCAUAAUAUUUAGAAAUAGUCCUUUUCGUGAUUAUAAAAAAGUCUGUUAAAUGCUAAUUUCUGUUCGUAGAAGCUGGUAGCGUAGCUAGCAUAUAGAAAUCGGUGGUGGUACUUGAAGCCGUUUUUAAGUGUAAAUCAGUUGAUUAGUGAUGAUGACAUGAACCUGUAUUGGGGUUGACAUCCAUACAAGCAUUUUAAUCCGAUUUUCACUCCAAAAUAGUGUCAAAUACACAUAUAAACAAUAGCCUAAAUGUAGGCUAAUUUUUAUGGAGGGCAAUGAGGAGAUUCUGAAUGGCGUUGACAUGGGAUUCCGGUCGAGUUGGAUUGGUCUCUUUACCACAUCUAUAAAGAAAGAGAAAGGUAAGGUCAUUACAUAGUGUGUACCAGCCCAGGUGCCUGAACACAUGUGAAUACAAUGGUGACCACUCUGCCCAGUGGGCCCUAAUUCCAGCAAAUACUCAGUCAAAUCUUUAAAUCCUGAUUUACAGAUAACUGUAGUGACGGAAGACACUGUGACC
Molecule: long non-coding RNA, 5472 nt
Organism: Oncorhynchus tshawytscha (Chinook salmon)
Lineage: Eukaryota; Metazoa; Chordata; Actinopteri; Salmoniformes; Salmonidae
Source: Ensembl